UCAACGACUCUCGGCAACGGAUAUCUCGGCUCUCGCAUCGAUGAAGAACGUAGCGAAAUGCGAUACUUGGUGUGAAUUGCAGAAUCCCGUGAACCAUCGAGUCUUUGAACGCAAGUUGCGCCCGAGGCCUUCGGGCCGAGGGCACGCCUGCCUGGGCGUCACGCAUCGCGUCGC
This 174-nucleotide ribosomal RNA is filed under the name Wenchengia alternifolia. Its description in RNAcentral is "5.8S ribosomal RNA". The stretch from base 6 to 161 matches the Rfam family "5.8S ribosomal RNA". From Rfam's summary of the family: 5.8S ribosomal RNA (5.8S rRNA) is a component of the large subunit of the eukaryotic ribosome. It is transcribed by RNA polymerase I as part of the 45S precursor that also contains 18S and 28S rRNA. Functionally, it is thought that 5.8S rRNA may be involved in ribosome translocation. Lineage: Eukaryota; Viridiplantae; Streptophyta; Magnoliopsida; Lamiales; Lamiaceae. The record is from RNAcentral.